GAUGAACGCUGGCGGCGUGCCUAAUACAUGCAAGUCGAGCGAACGGACGGGAAGCUUGCUUCUCUGAUGUUAGCGGCGGACGGGUGAGUAACACGUGGAUAACCUACCUAUAAGACUGGGAUAACUUCGGGAAACCGGAGCUAAUACCGGAUGAUAUUUUGAACCGCAUGGUUCAAAAGUGAAAGACGGUCUUGCUGUCACUUAUAGAUGGAUCCGCGCUGCAUUAGCUAGUUGGUAGGUAACGGCUUACCAAGGCAACGAUGCAUAGCCGACCUGAGAGGGUGAUCGGCCACACUGGAACUGAGACACGGUCCAGACUCCUACGGGAGGCAGCAGUAGGGAAUCUUCCGCAAUGGGCGAAAGCCUGACGGAGCAACGCCGCGUGAGUGAUGAAGGUCUUCGGAUCGUAAAACUCUGUUAUUAGGGAAGAACAUAUGUGUAAGUAACUGUGCACAUCUUGACGGUACCUAAUCAGAAAGCCACGGCUAACUACGUG
RNAcentral lists this ribosomal RNA (496 nucleotides) under uncultured bacterium. RNAcentral describes it as "partial 16S ribosomal RNA". It matches the Rfam family "Bacterial small subunit ribosomal RNA", at positions 28 to 507 of the family's 1533-position model. The record is from RNAcentral.